CAGCCGCCACGGUAAUACGUAGGGUGCGAGCGUUAAUCGGAAUUACUGGGCGUAAAGCGUGCGCAGGCGGUUAUGCAAGACAGAUGUGAAAUCCCCGGGCUCAACCUGGGAACUGCAUUUGUGACUGCAUGACUAGAGUACGGCAGAGGGGGAUGGAAUUCCGCGUGUAGCGGUGAAAUGCGUAGAUAUGCGGAGGAACACCGAUGGCGAAGGCAAUCCCCUGGGCCUGUACUGACGCUCAUGCACGAAAGCGCGGGGAGCAAACAGGAUUAGAUACCCCUGUAGUCCCUGUCUCUUAUAC
This 301-nucleotide ribosomal RNA is filed under the name uncultured bacterium. Its description in RNAcentral is "partial 16S ribosomal RNA". It matches the Rfam family "Bacterial small subunit ribosomal RNA", at positions 509 to 807 of the family's 1533-position model. The record is from RNAcentral.